This 373-nucleotide ribosomal RNA is filed under the name uncultured organism. RNAcentral's name for it is "bacterial SSU rRNA". It matches the Rfam family "Bacterial small subunit ribosomal RNA", at positions 526 to 896 of the family's 1533-position model. The record is from RNAcentral.
CGGAGGGGGCAAGCGUUGUCCGGACUCACUGGGCGUAAAGGGCCCGUAGGCGGAAGGGUGCGUCGGUGCUGAAAGCGCCCGGCUUAACCGGGCGAGGCGUGCCGAUACGACCGUUCUUGAGGCCGACAGAGGGUGGCGGAAUUCCGGGUGUAGUGGUGAAAUGCGUAGAGAUCCGGAGGAACGCCUGUGGCGCAAGCGGCCACCUGGGUCGGACCUGACGCUGAGGGGCGAAAGCGUGGGGAGCGAACCGGAUUAGAUACCCGGGUAGUCCACGCCAUAAACGAUGCCAGCUCGGUGUCUGGGGCCGUUUUGGCCCUGGGUGCCUUAGUUCACACGGUAAGCUGGCCGCCUGGGGACUACGAGCGCAAGCUUA